AGCUAGCUGACGAGUCCCAAAUAGGACGAAAUGCGCAUCCUAGAU
Molecule: non-coding RNA, 45 nt
Filed under: Trichobilharzia regenti
Lineage: Eukaryota; Metazoa; Platyhelminthes; Trematoda; Strigeidida; Schistosomatidae
Source: RNAcentral